RNAcentral lists this long non-coding RNA (319 nucleotides) under Panax ginseng (ginseng). RNAcentral describes it as "long non-coding RNA (PGIN_LNC014385)". The record is from RNAcentral. Lineage: Eukaryota; Viridiplantae; Streptophyta; Magnoliopsida; Apiales; Araliaceae.
GGGCUAGUUGAGCUCACCCUUUGAUUUCGUUGUUCUCUUCAGGAAAUGAGAAUAUAGUUGGGACUAGUCGGGGAAUGGAGUGACGGUCCAGAUGGUUGCUUUAGUAGUCCUCACUAUUCUGUGAAAGUGUAAUAAUAAGUGUAAUGAGUACUUCAUUUGAGUUUGGAUAUUGUCUACGAGACAAUAUUCGUAUUAAAAUCUCAGUUUACGUUUAUCGUAUUGUGUAAAUUAAGUUUGUAUUUGAAUUCUGUACUAUGUAUUUGGCGACUCAGAUUGGGUGAUGUAUACCUAUUUUGGGGGCGACACACAAAUUGUCAAC